Molecule: long non-coding RNA, 114 nt
Organism: Sapajus apella (tufted capuchin)
Lineage: Eukaryota; Metazoa; Chordata; Mammalia; Primates; Cebidae
Exons: 3
Source: RefSeq, a predicted model, not a curated record
GAGUUGGCUGCUUAGUAUGAUUAGACCCAAAAAUGCUAAGGACUCUACUUCUAAUAGUGUGGAGAACACUGAUAGCUUUGGCGUGAACCGUUUAGAAAGUGAUAGUAGCUUUUU